AGACUACUACUCUAAUGGAAAUAUAUAUGAAACUAUUCAAGAUUCUAUCAAGAGAGAACCGGAUUAUUUAAUCAUUGUUGAUGCUCCACCAACAAGAAUGGAUUCAACUGACUCACAUUAUGUAAAUGUAAAACGUUAAAGACUUGAUGAACUCAACCCUGUCUGAAAAUCUGGGGUGUGUGUGUAUUAAACUGUCUCACAAUUCGACAUGCAUGGCAAAUCAGACCAAACAAAUCUGGCAGAAAAACUACAACUGUUAUUCAGGGAGUGCUAGUUGUAAAACAGUUCACUGAGAGAAAUGAGGAAUUUUGUUACACACACCAGUUUAAAAUAAAAUUAUAUUUAAAAAAAGAAUAAA
Long non-coding RNA from Physella acuta, 358 nucleotides. RefSeq lists it as uncharacterized. NCBI's taxonomy places the organism in Eukaryota, Metazoa, Mollusca, Gastropoda, Physidae. The record is from RefSeq and is a predicted model, not a curated record.